AUGAACGCUAGCGACAGGCCUAACACAUGCAAGUCGAGGGGCAGCACAGUGUAGCAAUACAUAGGUGGCGACCGGCGCACGGGUGAGUAACGCGUAUGCAACCUGCCUACAACAGGGGGAUAACCCGGAGAAAUCCGGACUAAUACCGCAUAAAACAGGGGUCCCGCAUGGGAGUAUUUGUUAAAGAUUUAUCGGUUGUAGAUGGGCAUGCGUUCCAUUAGUUGGUUGGUGAGGUAACGGCUCACCAAGGCGUCGAUGGAUAGGGGAACUGAGAGGUUUGUCCCCCACACUGGAACUGAGACACGGACCAGACUCCUACGGGAGGCAGCAGUGAGGAAUAUUGGUCAAUGGGCGAGAGCCUGAACCAGCCAAGUCGCGUGAAGGAAGACUGCCUUAUGGGUUGUAAACUUCUUUUAUACAGGAAUAAAAAGGCUUACGUGUAGGCCAUUGCAAGUACUGUAUGAAUAAGCAUCGGCUAACUCCGUGCCAGCAGCCGCGGUAAUACGGANGAUGCGAGCGUUAUCCGGAUUUAUUGGGUUUAAAGGGUGCGCAGGCGGGCUUUUAAGUCAGCGGUGAAAUCUGGACGCUUAACGUCCAAACUGCCGUUGAAACUGGGAGUCUUGAGUAUGGAUGAA
This 635-nucleotide ribosomal RNA is filed under the name uncultured bacterium. RNAcentral's name for it is "bacterial SSU rRNA". It matches the Rfam family "Bacterial small subunit ribosomal RNA", at positions 29 to 656 of the family's 1533-position model. The record is from RNAcentral.